UAUUGGCGAUAAAGAAAAGAAAGAAAAGAAGAUCGAGGAAGAAGAGGAGGGAGAGAAGGAGCUUCGUCGGUCAUCAAUGGCAGACGGCGAAGGAGGCCCUGUCGGAGCGUGGUGACGAAGGCUAGGGAUGCAGCUGUCGUCGGCGAGAUCGUUGGUGCCGGGCGCAGCAGUAGGAGGCUUCGGCAGGCGUGGGAACGAGAAAGGCAGCUGCAACCUUCUUGUCGUCGUUCCUGGAGUUUCCAGCGUCCAAUGGCGGCGGUUUUAGUCUUAAAAUGACCGGUGACUUAAGAGAUUUCUUUUAGAGGCAGCAACAUCGGCAAUGGUGAACGGAGGAGAAAGUUCCGGCGAAGUGAAGACAAUUUGGAUUUCUCACUUUUUUGGCCGUUGCCGUUAAGCUUCCGACGAUCGGAGGACAUAUUCAAACUCCCCUCGGCUCAAGCUUUCAAAUGGCACUAGUUUUUCAGCGAUCGGACUCCGUUUGAAAAUUGAUAGUCAGAACUGGUUGUGAUUUUCUUCAGACGAUCGGAGGCUUGAUCGAAGAAUCAUAUGCUAGAAUUAUCGUCUGCGUGUUAUUUUGAGUCCAUAGGCGCUCGGAUCAUUGAUCGGACUCUGGCGGCUGAAGGUGAGUCGGCUGAUUGAUCAAAUGUCUCGGUAAUUCUCUAGCCUGUUGAUUUUAAAGAUUGUUGAUAAAAAAUUAUUUGAUUAAUUAUUAUGUUAAACACUAGAAAAAUUAUGUGAGGAUUGAUUGUCAAAAUAAUAGUAUGUCAGACCGUCUGCCAAUAAUUGUGAUCUGUGAUGAGUUACGGAGUCGGAAAAAAUGAUGUAGUUUUGGUGGCCUGACUCGUUAAUUAAUUGAUGAAUAUUAAAAGUGUUUCUAGCAGGUCCUGGACCCGUUAUACGGAAGACAAACGUUCGUAUUUUAGAGGAAGUUCUACCGAAUUUUCGAUAGAAUUUCAGAAUCGAAAUUCUUAGACAGUCAGUUCUAGGAGUUCAGUCCUAGGGUUAUUUAUUAAAUAUUUUACUUUUAUUGAUUGAAUUGUUCCGUGAAUAGAUAAUCCAUCAUUUCAACUCGCUCCACCCGAGGGUUAGGAACAGAGCAAGGAGGUCGUCAGAACUGUGAGUUAAAGUCAUAUAUCUGCUAUACAUGUUUCUUACAAAGAUCUUAAAUAAUAAUUUUGAUUAAUUGAUUUAUAGAUUUGAAUUAUUUCAUUUAUUUACUAUUCAUAUAUCAAUUUCUACAUCAUUGAUAUUAUAUUUGCAUGUUGACAUAGGAUGAGGCAGUAGUAGAACUUGCCACUUGAUGGGUUGCAUCAUGACUGCGUAUGCACUGGUAUGAAUCUGAGAUUGGUAGUAAAAGAUUAAUUUAGGACUUGCUCUGGUCGAGUUCAACUCUCUGGGCUGUAUAAAGUGUGUUUGCCGGAGUAAAGGUCUCUGGUCGAGCGUUGCUCUCUGGGCGCCGGCCUUAUUGGAAAUCAAGUGAUCAUACUGAACUUAAGGACUCUGGUCGAGCUCCGCUCUCUGGGCGCCAGUCUUGUUGGAGUGAGAGAGCCGAAAGGCUAAGGCUGUUAGUAUAGAGGUUAGGGUUCUAAUGAAGUACUCGUUUCGUAGCAUAUAAAAUCUAUUUUAUAGAAGCAUGACAUGACACGUGUUUUUUCAUGACGUAAUAUUUUAUUUUAAUUAAAUAAAUAUUUUAUUAAAGUGGUUGUACUCGUUUUUGGAUAUAUAAUUUUAAAUCACUAUCGAGACUGAAAAUCUCAAAUUUAAUUAUUUUUCAGGUAUUUGUUACUUUUCUGCAGUUCUUUCCCUCUAUCAGUCUAACUCUUUCAUCUUCG
This 1832-nucleotide long non-coding RNA is filed under the name Ricinus communis (castor bean). RNAcentral describes it as "long non-coding RNA (RCOM_LNC001782)". Lineage: Eukaryota; Viridiplantae; Streptophyta; Magnoliopsida; Malpighiales; Euphorbiaceae. The record is from RNAcentral.